RNAcentral lists this ribosomal RNA (253 nucleotides) under uncultured bacterium. RNAcentral's name for it is "partial 16S ribosomal RNA". It matches the Rfam family "Bacterial small subunit ribosomal RNA", at positions 524 to 776 of the family's 1533-position model. The record is from RNAcentral.
UACGUAGGGUGCGAGCGUUAAUCGGAAUUACUGGGCGUAAAGCGUGCGCAGGCGGUUUUGUAAGCCAGAUGUGAAAGCCCCGGGCUUAACCUGGGAAUGGCAUUUGGGACUGCAAGGCUUGAGUGCGGCAGAGGAGACUGGAAUUCCUGGUGUAGCAGUGAAAUGCGCAGAUAUCAGGAGGAACACCGGUGGCGAAGGCGGGUCUCUGGGCCGAUACUGACGCUGAGGAGCGAAAGCGUGGGGAGCGAACAGG